GCAACCCCAGGUCAGGCGGG
Molecule: ribosomal RNA, 20 nt
Filed under: Calamus hollrungii
Lineage: Eukaryota; Viridiplantae; Streptophyta; Magnoliopsida; Arecales; Arecaceae
Description: partial 26S ribosomal RNA
Source: RNAcentral